Molecule: long non-coding RNA, 923 nt
Organism: Mesocricetus auratus (golden hamster)
Lineage: Eukaryota; Metazoa; Chordata; Mammalia; Rodentia; Cricetidae
Exons: 2
Source: RefSeq, a predicted model, not a curated record
GCGGCGCGCAUCCUCCCCGGCCGGGGCCGGGGCGCGCGGUGGCCUGCGUGGCUCGGGCAUCGCGCGCCCACUGUCCCCGCCCGGGCGCCCCGUGCUCCGCCGCCGCGGUGGCCCAGCUGCAAAUAAACAGCGGUCCCCCCGCCUCCCCGGGCCAUCGCCGCCGCCUCCGCCCACUGCGCAUGCCCGCUCGCGCGCCUCCGCCUCCUGGAUCCCGGGACCCAAGGUCCCUAACACCUGGCCUCCGCCCGCGGGUGCCGCGUUCCAGGCGGCCAGAGCACGCACAGAGGAGCAAGCGAUCAGGCACCCGCAGGACAGCGAGAGGAUAUGCUCCAGCGCCCGCGGGGCUUGAAACCUUCCACCGCGCUGUGCCCCAGCCCUGGGAACGCGCGCAGCAGUCCCUUCCCCAAAGUCGAGGGGUGCAUCCGGGGCUGUGGACUACCUCCUUGUCGGGUUUCUCUGCUGCUGAUGCUACGGCUUAUAAUAAACCCCGGGUUUGAUUUUUAUUUCCGUCCGGCUGACUCUUUCUUUUGCUUUUCCUUUAAACUCUUAAGCACAGAGAGAGGCGCCGAACACAUCAAUCACUUCUGGCUUUCUUUUGGUUUUGGUUUUGAGACACUGCCUUACUCUGUCGCCCAGGCAGGUCUGGCAUUGGCUAUAGAAGCCAGGCUGUCCUCAUGGAAAUCCUCCUGCCUCAGCCUCCCUGGCCCAGCUAGCUACUUUACCUGUGCCUUACUGGAUCUCCUGAGUGUGACUGUUGUCUCCUGGGUAGUGCAUGCAAGGCUGCCCUGGCUCUGUCAACAUAAAUGAUAACCACGGACCGCCCUGGUAUUGCCUCUGACUCAGACACUUCCUGUCUUUCGCGAAACUGUUCUACUUUUGAAUGCCAAUCACAAUAUGUAAAUAAAUGAGUUAUUCCGGAGUAA